AAAGCAGUGAUGUGGAGCAAAACACAAAAAGCAGUCUCAGUUCAGAUUGUAGGCUGAAACUCGCCUAUAUGAAGUCGGAAUUGCUAGUAAUCGCAGAUCAGCAUGCUGCGGUGAAUACGUUCCCGGGCCUUGUACACACCGCCCGUCACACCAUGGGAGUCAGCAACGCCCGAAGUCAGUGACCUAACCGAAAGGGAGGAGCUGCCGAAGGCGGGGCCGGUAACUGGGGUGAAGUCGUAACAAGGUACC
RNAcentral lists this ribosomal RNA (249 nucleotides) under uncultured bacterium. RNAcentral's name for it is "partial 16S ribosomal RNA". It matches the Rfam family "Bacterial small subunit ribosomal RNA", at positions 1251 to 1500 of the family's 1533-position model. The record is from RNAcentral.